Molecule: long non-coding RNA, 1128 nt
Filed under: Fukomys damarensis (Damara mole-rat)
Lineage: Eukaryota; Metazoa; Chordata; Mammalia; Rodentia; Bathyergidae
Description: lncRNA (ENSFDAG00000030927.1)
Source: RNAcentral
CAGAUAUUCAGCAGUAUGCUAAUGGAGCCUCUGACGAUUCAACGUUUCGCCGAAACCCCUUGUGGAACUGUUCAAGUAUUUCAUUCUGGUGCACUCUGCCCACAACAGAGAAGAGAGAGUCCCGCCGCACCGCCAGACUUAGGCGUUUGUCUCUUCUGAAAAAUCAAGACACCAAGACUCAGCUGUUCCUGUGCAGAAGCUCUUAGGUUUGAGACACUGCUGGACAGUGCUCUGCGUCGCCGGCUCGCGACAAGUGGCGCCCGAACAGGGACCUGGAAUUGAAGCAGCGAUCGGUGAGCAAUCCGUGAAGCCUGCUGUCAAAAAGGGUUCGGCCGAACCGAAACAAGGAGGACACCGCUGUCUGGAACGCCACUCACGGUGGGUUGUUUUGGUGAACCUGUUUGCUCUUUUCCUGUGUGACCUUUCAGUUACUAUGGUAAACCCAUCCCAUAAUAGUUUGUGGUUUUUUGCUUUAAAAGGCCGGUGCUUGCCGGCAAUAAACGCCGCCUUGAUCAGACUCUUGUCUUGGCGUCCUUCCUUUCUCUCUGCCCCAUCUCCACCCCGCUGCUCUUUCAGGUUUGAGACACUGCUGGACAGUGCUCUGCGUCGCCGGCUCGCGACAUAGAAAGAUAAAUUUUUUAUUGAAAUUGGCUCUAGCUCUGUUUCCCAGGCUGAUUUUGGACCGGUGGCAGUCCUGCCUCAGCCUCCAGAAUACCUAGGAAGGCACAUGCCACAUGCCUGACUCAUGGUUAUAAAUUUGGAACCAACUGCCUGUCAUUAAGAGCUAUUACAUAAACUACAUGUAUACUAUGAACUCCUUGGCCACCAUUAGAAAUAAGGCAGAUCUGUAUGUACUGAUACGAAAAGCUUUAUAAGCGAUAUUGUUUUAAAAAUCAAAUGGCAGAACACUACAUAUACUUUGAUCUUCUUUAUUUAAAAAGUGGAGUCAAGUGUAUUUAUACACCAAGAACUGUUAGUAGUGAUUACCUCUGCAUAGGAAAAAAGGAGUAUAAGACAGGGGAAGAAUUACCAUGUUUUACUUUAUAUAUUUAUGUAUUUCUUGAAAUUUGGCAUUCAUCUGUUACUUAUGUUUAUGAGUUUUAAAAACUUAAUUGUAGGAAAAUCACA